RNAcentral lists this ribosomal RNA (253 nucleotides) under uncultured bacterium. RNAcentral's name for it is "partial 16S ribosomal RNA". It matches the Rfam family "Bacterial small subunit ribosomal RNA", at positions 524 to 776 of the family's 1533-position model. The record is from RNAcentral.
UACGUAGGGUGCGGGCGUUAAUCGGAAUUACUGGGCGUAAAGCGUGCGCAGGCGGCUUUUCAAGUCAGGUGUGAAAUCCCCGGGCUUAACCUGGGAAUGGCGCUUGAAACUGGAGAGCUUGAGUGUGGCAGAGGGGGGUGGAAUUCCACGUGUAGCAGUGAAAUGCGUAGAGAUGUGGAGGAACACCGAUGGCGAAGGCAGCCCCCUGGGCUGACACUGACGCUCAGGCACGAAAGCGUGGGGAGCAAACAGG